AGACGUCUACAUUAGAUACCCGGGUAGUCCAGGGUGUAAACGCUGCAGACUUGGUGUUGGAAGCCCUUUGGGGGCAUUCAGUGCCGGAGAGAAGUUGUUAAGUCUGCUACUUGGGAGUACGUCCGCAAGGAUGAAACUUAAAGGAAUUGGCGGGGGAGCACCGCAACGGGAGGAGCGUGCGGUUUAAUUGGAUUCAACACCGUAAAACUCACCAGGGAAGACUGUUACAUGAAGGCCGAGAUGAAGACUCUGCUAGAUUUUCAG
RNAcentral lists this ribosomal RNA (264 nucleotides) under uncultured archaeon. RNAcentral's name for it is "partial 16S ribosomal RNA". It matches the Rfam family "Archaeal small subunit ribosomal RNA", at positions 717 to 982 of the family's 1478-position model. The record is from RNAcentral.